Molecule: ribosomal RNA, 298 nt
Filed under: uncultured bacterium
Lineage: Bacteria
Description: partial 16S ribosomal RNA
Rfam family: Bacterial small subunit ribosomal RNA
Source: RNAcentral
GGAUUAGAUACCCUGGUAGUCCUAGCUGUAAACGAUGAGCACUGGGUUGAGGGGACUUCCACAUCCUCUCGGCCGUAGCGAAAGCGUUAAGUGCUCCGCCUGGGGAGUAUGGUCGCAAGGCUGAAACUCAAAGGGAUUGACGGGGGCUCACACAAGCGGUGGAGGAUGUGCCUUAAUUCGAGGAUACGCGAAGAACCUUAUCCUAGAUUUGACAUGCUUGAGAGUCUCUAUGAAAGUAGAGAGUGCCCUUCGGGGAGCUCUUGCACAGGUGCUGCAUGGCUGUCGUCAGCUCGUGCUG